UGCUAUUAAUAAAAGAUUAAUUAAUGAUUAAAUUAUUAAUUGACUUAAUUUGAUUGAGCAAAGAGCUUUGGAUCAAGUCCAAUUGAAUCGGAUUCAGUUUGACAUAGAUUGGAUUUGAUUUGAUCAAGCCUAAUUCAAGAGAAACUUAUUCUUGAUUUGAUUAGGACUUGAAUUCAAUUAAUUCCUAAUUGGAUUAAAAAUUUAUUGAGAUAAUUAGAUUUCUAAUUAGAUUAGGUUCCUUCCUCU
RNAcentral lists this long non-coding RNA (246 nucleotides) under Elaeis guineensis (African oil palm). RNAcentral's name for it is "long non-coding RNA (EGUI_LNC067122)". Lineage: Eukaryota; Viridiplantae; Streptophyta; Magnoliopsida; Arecales; Arecaceae. The record is from RNAcentral.